AACGCACGAGACCUGCGGACCUGCGGAGGGAUCAUUAGUGAACGCCCUCACGGGCUUAUAACUAUUCCAAACCUCUGUGAACCGUGCCCUUCGGGGCUAUUUUACAAACAUGGUGUAAUGAACGUCAUAUAUCUUAACAAAACAAAACUUUCAACAACGGAUCUCU
Molecule: unclassified non-coding RNA, 166 nt
Filed under: soil metagenome
Description: partial contains 5.8S ribosomal RNA, internal transcribed spacer 2, and large subunit ribosomal RNA
Source: RNAcentral